UUAAGCGACUAAGCGUACACGGUGGAUGCCCUGGCAGUCAGAGGCGAUGAAGGACGUGCUAAUCUGCGAAAAGCGUCGGUAAGGUGAUAUGAACCGUUAUAACCGGCGAUGUCCGAAUGGGGAAACCCAGUGCAAUUCGUUGCACUAUCGUUAACUGAAUACAUAGGUUAACGAGGCGAACCGGGGGAACUGAAACAUCUAAGUACCCCGAGGAAAAGAAAUCAACCGAGAUUCCCCCAGUAGCGGCGAGCGAACGGGGAGCAGCCCAGAGUCUGAAUCAGCUUGUGUGUUAGUGGAACGGUCUGGAAAGUCCGACGGUACAGGGUGAUAGUCCCGUACACCAAAAUGCACAGGUUGUGAACUCGAAGAGUAGGGCGGGACACGUGGUAUCCUGUCUGAAUAUGGGGGGACCAUCCUCCAAGGCUAAAUACUCCUGACUGACCGAUAGUGAACCAGUACCGUGAGGGAAAGGCGAAAAGAACCCCGGCGAGGGGAGUGAAAAAGAACCUGAAACCGUGUACGUACAAGCAGUGGGAGCACCUUCGGGUGUGACUGCGUACCUUUUGUAUAAUGGGUCAGCGACUUAUAUUCUGUAGCAAGGUUAACCGUAUAGGGGAGCCGCAGGGAAACCGAGUCUUAACUGGGCGUUAAGUUGCAGGGUAUAGACCCGAAACCCGGUGAUCUAGCCAUGGGCAGGUUGAAGGUUGGGUAACACUAACUGGAGGACCGAACCGACUAAUGUUGAAAAAUUAGCGGAUGACUUGUGGCUGGGGGUGAAAGGCCAAUCAAACCGGGAGAUAGCUGGUUCUCCCCGAAAGCUAUUUAGGUAGCGCCUCGUGAAUUCAUCUUCGGGGGUAGAGCACUGUUUCGGCUAGGGGGUCAUCCCGACUUACCAACCCGAUGCAAACUACGAAUACCGAAGAAUGUUAUCACGGGAGACACACGGCGGGUGCUAACGUCCGUCGUGAAGAGGGAAACAACCCAGACCGCCAGCUAAGGUCCCAAAGUCAUGGUUAAGUGGGAAACGAUGUGGGAAGGCACAGACAGCCAGGAUGUUGGCUUAGAAGCAGCCAUCAUUUAAAGAAAGCGUAAUAGCUCACUGGUCGAGUCGGCCUGCGCGGAAGAUGUAACGGGGCUAAACCAUGCACCGAAGCUGCGGCAGCGACACUAUGUGUUGUUGGGUAGGGGAGCGUUCUGUAAGCCUGCGAAGGUGACCUGUGAGGGUUGCUGGAGGUAUCAGAAGUGCGAAUGCUGACAUAAGUAACGAUAAAGCGGGUGAAAAGCCCGCUCGCCGGAAGACCAAGGGUUCCUGUCCAACGUUAAUCGGGGCAGGGUGAGUCGACCCCUAAGGCGAGGCCGAAAGGCGUAGUCGAUGGGAAACAGGUUAAUAUUCCUGUACUUGGUGUUACUGCGAAGGGGGGACGGAGAAGGCUAUGUUAGCCGGGCGACGGUUGUCCCGGUUUAAGCAUGUAGGCUGAUUGUCCAGGCAAAUCCGGAUAAUCAAGGCUGAGGUGUGAUGACGAGGCACUACGGUGCUGAAGUAACAAAUGCCCUGCUUCCAGGAAAAGCCUCUAAGCAUCAGGUAACAUCAAAUCGUACCCCAAACCGACACAGGUGGUCAGGUAGAGAAUACCAAGGCGCUUGAGAGAACUCGGGUGAAGGAACUAGGCAAAAUGGUGCCGUAACUUCGGGAGAAGGCACGCUGGUGUGUAGGUGAAGCCCCUGCGGGUGGAGCUGAGACCAGUCGAAGAUACCAGCUGGCUGCAACUGUUUAUUAAAAACACAGCACUGUGCAAACACGAAAGUGGACGUAUACGGUGUGACGCCUGCCCGGUGCCGGAAGGUUAAUUGAUGGGGUUAUCCGUAAGGAGAAGCUCUUGAUCGAAGCCCCGGUAAACGGCGGCCGUAACUAUAACGGUCCUAAGGUAGCGAAAUUCCUUGUCGGGUAAGUUCCGACCUGCACGAAUGGCGUAAUGAUGGCCAGGCUGUCUCCACCCGAGACUCAGUGAAAUUGAACUCGCUGUGAAGAUGCAGUGUACCCGCGGCAAGACGGAAAGACCCCGUGAACCUUUACUAUAGCUUGACACUGAACAUUGAGCCUUGAUGUGUAGGAUAGGUGGGAGGCUUUGAAGCGUGGACGCCAGUCUGCGUGGAGCCAACCUUGAAAUACCACCCUUUAAUGUUUGAUGUUCUAACGUUGGCCCCUUACCGGGGUUGCGG
This 2220-nucleotide ribosomal RNA is filed under the name Klebsiella pneumoniae. RNAcentral's name for it is "bacterial LSU rRNA". It matches the Rfam family "Bacterial large subunit ribosomal RNA", at positions 1 to 2250 of the family's 2925-position model. Lineage: Bacteria; Pseudomonadati; Pseudomonadota; Gammaproteobacteria; Enterobacterales; Enterobacteriaceae. The record is from RNAcentral.